CGGACGGGUGAGUAAUGAAUCGCUAACGUGCCCCGAUCCCUGGGAUAGCCGGCCGAAAGGCCGGGUAAUACCAGAUGACGUGACGCCAGGGCAUCCUGGUGUCCCCAAAGGGAAACCGGUCCGGGAGCGGGCGAUUUCGUAUCAGCUAGUUGGUGGGGUAACGGCCCACCAAGGCGACGACGCGUAGCUGGUCUGAGAGGACGGCCAGCCACAUUGGGACUGAGACACUGCCCAG
RNAcentral lists this ribosomal RNA (235 nucleotides) under uncultured bacterium. RNAcentral's name for it is "partial 16S ribosomal RNA". It matches the Rfam family "Bacterial small subunit ribosomal RNA", at positions 99 to 334 of the family's 1533-position model. The record is from RNAcentral.